Molecule: unclassified non-coding RNA, 277 nt
Filed under: Hevea brasiliensis (rubber tree)
Lineage: Eukaryota; Viridiplantae; Streptophyta; Magnoliopsida; Malpighiales; Euphorbiaceae
Source: RNAcentral
CAACUCGGAUGAUACAGUAUCUCAGGGUUAUAUAGACAUAAAAAGCACAAGUUCAAGCAAGGAUGAGCAGGAAGGUUGCAGGAACGCUGUAAGUGAUCCUGAAAAAUAUAUUUGCACCAGGGAUGGUGCACCGUCUCGAGUUGCCAUUUUCAGAGAUAGGGAGAAGGAUCGUACUGACCCAGAUUAUGAUCGGAGUUAUGACCGGUAUGUAAGGAGCCUUCCAACUAAUCAUAACUUUAACUUAGCACCAUUCAAUAUGCAGAAGAUUCAACUCCCA